AUUUUUUUCCUAUACACAGUGGAUAUUAAGCAAAUGACAACCAUUUUACUUGCAUUAAGAGAGAAAGAAGAAGCAGUGUCCUACUUCAGCAGGAGAACAGAAACUGACCUCUACAGGAUGUUUGGGUGAAGGUCAUUUUCUAUUAUAUGGCCUAUAAAAUCAUUUCCAUUGGGAAAGAAUGGCAGAAAAGUCAUCAUCCUUUGAAGACAGUUUUAAUUAAAAGAGGGAGAAACCCAGAGAGUUGCUGAGUCUCACGAGAAUGGAUGUUUGUAAUUCAGAGCAAUGUUUUUCCUGCAAAGUACUUUUUUUCUCUUUUGAUCAAUAACUAG
RNAcentral lists this long non-coding RNA (329 nucleotides) under Delphinapterus leucas (beluga whale). RNAcentral describes it as "lncRNA (ENSDLEG00000012582.1)". Lineage: Eukaryota; Metazoa; Chordata; Mammalia; Artiodactyla; Monodontidae. The record is from RNAcentral.